This 392-nucleotide ribosomal RNA is filed under the name uncultured bacterium. RNAcentral's name for it is "partial 16S ribosomal RNA". It matches the Rfam family "Bacterial small subunit ribosomal RNA", at positions 523 to 918 of the family's 1533-position model. The record is from RNAcentral.
AUACGUAGGGGGCGAGCGUUGUCCGGAAUUAUUGGGCGUAAAGGGUUCGCAGGCGGUCUGAUAAGUCAGAUGUGAAAGGCAAUGGCUCAACCAUUGUAAGCAUUUGAAACUGUCAGACUUGAGUUAAGGAGAGGAAAGUGGAAUUCCUAGUGUAGCGGGGAAAUGCGUAGAUAUUAGGAGGAAUACCAGUGGCGAAGGCGACUUUCUGGACUUAUACUGACGCUGAGGAACGAAAGCGUGGGGAGCAAACAGGAUUAGAUACCCUGGUAGUCCACGCCGUAAACGAUGAGUGCUAGGUGUUGGGGGUCAAACCUCGGUGCCGCAGCUAACGCAUUAAGCACUCCGCCUGGGGAGUACGUACGCAAGUAUGAAACUCAAAGGAAUUGACGGGG